AUUGAACGCUGGCGGCAGGCUUAACACAUGCAAGUCGAGCGGAGACUUCGGUCUUAGCGGCGAACGGGUGAGGAAUGCCUGGGAAUCUGCCUGUUAGUGGGGGAUAACGUUCCGAAAGGAGCGCUAAUACCGCAUACGUCCUACGGGAGAAAGCAGGGGGACCUUCGGGCCUUGCGCUAACAGAUGAGCCCAGGUCGGAUUAGCUAGUUGGUGGGGUAAAGGCUCACCAAGGCGACGAUCCGUAGCUGGUCUGAGAGGAUGAUCAGCCACACUGGAACUGAGACACGGUCCAGACUCCUACGGGAGGCAGCAGUGGGGAAUAUUGGACAAUGGGCGAAAGCCUGAUCCAGCCAUGCCGCGUGUGUGAAGAAGGCCUUCGGUUGUAAAGUCACUUAAGUCGGGGAGGGAAGGUAACUU
RNAcentral lists this ribosomal RNA (417 nucleotides) under uncultured bacterium. RNAcentral's name for it is "bacterial SSU rRNA". It matches the Rfam family "Bacterial small subunit ribosomal RNA", at positions 30 to 458 of the family's 1533-position model. The record is from RNAcentral.